GUGCCAGCCGCGCGGUAAUACGGAGGGUGCAAGCGUUGUCCGGAUUUAUUGGGUUUAAAGGGUGCGUAGGCGGCCUAUUAAGUCAGUGGUGAAAGCCAACAGCUCAACUGUUGAACUGCCAUUGAUACUGAUAGGCUUGAGUACAGACGAGGUAGGCGGAAUUGAAGAUGUAGCGGUGAAAUGCAUAGAUAUCUUCAAGAACACCGAUUGCGUAGGCAGCUUACUAGGCUGUAACUGACGCUGAGGCACGAAAGCGUGGGGAGCGAGCAGGAUUAGAAACCCGGGUAGUCC
RNAcentral lists this ribosomal RNA (291 nucleotides) under uncultured bacterium. RNAcentral describes it as "partial 16S ribosomal RNA". It matches the Rfam family "Bacterial small subunit ribosomal RNA", at positions 505 to 796 of the family's 1533-position model. The record is from RNAcentral.